GCCCCUGUGAAUUUUUUAAAUAUGAAAGUUUUUGUACAAUAAAAUUGAUUUUUAGAUAAUUGAAGAAUAAUAUAGCCGUCUUAGUGGGUUUAUAUGAACAUUUAGAUUGUUUUUAACAUGUUUUAUAGGCCAUUUAUAUGAUUGACAGUCCGUAUUUUCCUAUCCGUACCGUCCAUAGGUCCAUACAUUAUUGUAGUGUUUAUCAACAAAGAUUUUGCGCUCGAUCUUUUCAAUUCAAUUUUAUGGAAAAAACGAGCAGAUAAGCAUAUGAUUUUUUUUGGACCACUUGAUAGAUAUAAACCUAUGGAUUCAGGAAAGGUAUCACUGUAAUUGAUUGAAAUUUUCCUUUAGACCAAAUUUUGGAGACUUUUGUGACAUGUUCACCCCCUUUUUUGCUAUAUUUUGUAUCUAAGAAAUGCAGAUUGUUGCCAUGGUUACACCCAAAAGGGAUUAUAUUUCACCCUUAUGACCAUUAGAAAUCAAAUCUAUGGAAGAUUCUCUUUCUAUAAGUAUAUACAUGCAUAACACACAUAUAAAGCCUUCUUUGUUAGACAGGAGGGGAAAGAGGGUGUUUAAAAAUUAUGAGUGUCAAUUUUAAGUUUUUUUCCUAACUGUGUAUUGCUACCUUAUGGCAUUUGACAAAGCAAAGAAUUGCUUUUUUUUAGACAAAUCAUACCACAAAUCUAUUGAUAUUUAGGUUAUAGAUACAAUUCUGAGGAAGAAACAACCUUUAGUAAGACAAUAUAUGUUAGUUUUGUUGUUUAUUGUCCUUAGCAACCAAUAUAGACAUUUUGACACAAAGACUUGGUUCCGUCAUAAAUUGAUACUUUAUUGGCUACCCCUUGGAAAAGAAGAUUGCGCGUUAUGUAGAAACCUUAGAAGGGAACGCUUUAUAUUUUUUCAUGCGACUAAAUCAAAUUUAUUAUUUUAGCAAGUAUAAAGUCACAAUUUAGCAUGAAUUAAGCCUAAAUUUUUUCCCGCUGUUAUAAAUAAAUUCAGUAUUUACUAAAUUUUAACCAAGGCUUUGGUAUGGUAAUACACAACAAAAUUGACAUUCUAGAGCUUUAAAAUAGCUUUAACUUGUAAAAUUUGUCUACUGUUAAGGUUAAUUUAAGUUUUUUAAACAAGAAAAGACAGGCUUAGAAGGUAUAGUUUUUAGAAAUUUGACUAAAAAAGGAGAAAAUGCACUUUGACAUGGCAUGUUUCAUAAAAUCACUUUUUUGUUGCAUUUCAGUGUCAACUGCUAACCUUCAUAAAAUAUUUAUUUCUGAACCGAUUUUCAAAACUAGCAGGCCAAUUUGCUCGUUUUAGCUAGUAGAAAACAGAAAUCCAUUUAAAGUGGAAUUGGGAAAAAAAAUGUUAAUCCUUAAGGUAGCAAUACACAGUUAGAAGUUUAGUUUCGCAUUAUGGCCCCUGUGAAUUUUUUAAAUAUGAAAGUUUUUGUACAAUAAAAUUGAUUUUUAGAUAAUUGAAGAAUAAUAUAGCCUUCUUAGUGGGUUUAUAUGAACAUUUAGAUUGUUUUUAACAUGUUUUAUAGGCCAUUUAUAUGAUUGACAGUCCGUAUUUUCCUAUCCGUACCGUUCAUAGGUCCAUAAAUUAGUGUAGUGUUUAUCAACAAAGAUUUUGCGCUCGAUCUUUUCAAUUCAAUUUUAUGGAAAAACGAGCAGAAA
RNAcentral lists this long non-coding RNA (1670 nucleotides) under Mytilus galloprovincialis (Mediterranean mussel). Lineage: Eukaryota; Metazoa; Mollusca; Bivalvia; Mytilida; Mytilidae. The record is from RNAcentral.